AAUGAACGCUGGCGGCGUGCUUUACACAUGCAAGUUGAGCGAGGCCACCCGCAAGGGUGAGUCGAGCGGCGAACGGGUGAGUAACGCGUGGAUGACCUGCCCUUUAGUGGGGAAUAACCCGGGAAACGUCGGGCUAAUACCGCAUAAGACCGAGAGGUGAAAGCGGGUCGCAAGAUCUCGUGCUAAUGGAGGGUCCGCGUUCGAUUAGCUAGUGGUAGGGUAAUGGCCUACCAAGGCGACGAUCGAUAGCCGGCCUGAGAGGGUGAUCGGCCACACUGGAACUGAGACACGGUCCAGACUCCUACGGGAGGCAGCAGGUGGGAAUUUUGCGCAAUGGGCUAACGCCUGACGCAGCAACGCCGCGUGGAGGAUGAA
Molecule: ribosomal RNA, 375 nt
Filed under: uncultured bacterium
Lineage: Bacteria
Description: bacterial SSU rRNA
Rfam family: Bacterial small subunit ribosomal RNA
Source: RNAcentral